This 615-nucleotide ribosomal RNA is filed under the name Gelopellis sp. H4571. RNAcentral describes it as "eukaryotic LSU rRNA". It matches the Rfam family "Eukaryotic large subunit ribosomal RNA", at positions 43 to 515 of the family's 3401-position model. The record is from RNAcentral. Lineage: Eukaryota; Fungi; Basidiomycota; Agaricomycetes; Phallales; Claustulaceae.
UCAAUAAGCGGAGGAAAAGAAACUAACGAGGAUUCCCUUAGUAACUGCGAGUGAAGCGGGAAGAGCUCAAAUUUGAAAUCUGSCAGUCUCGCGACUGUCCGAGUUGUAGUCUGGAGAAGCGUUUUCCGUGCCGGUCCCGUGUACAAGUCCCUUGGAACGGGGCGUCGUAGAGGGUGAGAAUCCCGUUCACGACACGGCGAGGCCGGCGCUCUGCGAUACGCUCUCGAAGAGUCGAGUUGUUUGGGAUUGCAGCUCAAAACGGGUGGUAAAUUCCAUCUAAAGCUAAAUACUGGCGAAAGACCGAUAGCGAACAAGUACCGUGAGGGAAAGAUGAAAAGCACUUUGAAAAGAGAGUCAAACAGUACGUGAAAUUGUCGAAAGGGAAACGCUUGAAGUCAGUCGCGUCUCUCGGGACUCAGUCGGGCGCGACUCGCGCGCGCUCGACGCAUUUCCCGUGGUCGGACGGGCCAGCAUCGAUUUUGACCGGUCGGAGAAAGGUACGAGGAAGGUGGCACCCCUCGCCGGGUGUGUUAUAGCCUCGUACCGCAUACGUCGGUCGGGAUCGAGGAACGCAGCACGCCCUCUCGAGAGAGAGGCCGGGGUUCUGUCCCACGG